This is a long non-coding RNA of Phyllostomus discolor (pale spear-nosed bat), 248 nucleotides long. RefSeq lists it as uncharacterized. NCBI's taxonomy places the organism in Eukaryota, Metazoa, Chordata, Mammalia, Chiroptera, Phyllostomidae. The record is from RefSeq and is a predicted model, not a curated record. The transcript has 2 exons.
GGGUGGGAGGGCCCUGCUUCACCUCGUGAGACGCGAGGAACCGCUGAGGCCUCCUAACCCCUCUCCACUCUUUCAACUCUAAGAAGACUUGGAUUCCUGCAACUUCCCUGGUUCCUUCCUCGCCCCCGGUCGGCCUCUCCAUGACUACAUGCCAAGAACCAGAGGUUUGAAAGCAGUCGAGGAAACCAGAACAACGUAACUGGAGAAAUGAUGUAGAAUGUGCGGUUCAUCUGUAUGUUACAACCCGU